UGUAGUCAUAUGCUUGUCUCAAAGAUUAAGCCAUGCAUGUCUAAGUAUAAGCGACUUAUACUGUGAAACUGCGAAUGGCUCAUUAUAUCAGUAAUAGUUUAUUUGAUAGUACCUUACUACUUGGAUAACCGUGGUAAUUCUAGAGCUAAUACAUGCUAAAAAUCCCGACUUCGGAAGGGAUGUGUUUAUUAGAUUAAAAACCAAUGCCCUCCGGGGCUCCUUGGUGAUUCAUGAUAACUAUUCGAAUCGCAUGGCCUUGCGCCGGCGAUGGUUCAUUCAAAUUUCUUCCCUAUCAACUUUCGAUGUUUGGGUAUUGGCCAAACAUGGUUGCAACGGGUAACGGAGGGUUAGGGCUCGACCCCGGAGAAGGAGCCUGAGAAACGGCUACUACAUCCAAGGAAGGCAGCAGGCGCGCAAAUUACCCAAUCCCGACACGGGGAGGUAGUGACAAUAAAUACUGAUACAGGGCUCUUUUGGGUCUUGUAAUUGGAAUGAGUACAAUUUAAAUCUCUUAACGAGGAACAAUUGGAGGGCAAGUCUGGUAAUCG
RNAcentral lists this ribosomal RNA (548 nucleotides) under uncultured eukaryote. RNAcentral describes it as "SSU rRNA". It matches the Rfam family "Eukaryotic small subunit ribosomal RNA", at positions 21 to 570 of the family's 1831-position model. The record is from RNAcentral.